RNAcentral lists this ribosomal RNA (349 nucleotides) under uncultured bacterium. Its description in RNAcentral is "bacterial SSU rRNA". It matches the Rfam family "Bacterial small subunit ribosomal RNA", at positions 340 to 686 of the family's 1533-position model. The record is from RNAcentral.
UACGGGAGGCAGCAGUGAGGAAUAUUGGUCAAUGGACGAGAGUCUGAACCAGCCAAGUAGCGUGAAGGAUGAAGGUUCUAUGGAUUGUAAACUUCUUUUAUACGGGAAUAAACGGAUCCACGUGUGGAUUUUUGCAUGUACCGUAUGAAUAAGGAUCGGCUAACUCCGUGCCAGCAGCCGCGGUAAUACGGAGGAUCCGAGCGUUAUCCGGAUUUAUUGGGUUUAAAGGGAGCGUAGAUGGGUUGUUAAGUCAGUUGUGAAAGUUUGCGGCUCAACCGUAAAAUUGCAAUUGAUACUGGCAGUCUUGAGUACAGUUGAGGUAGGCGGAAUUCGUGGUGUAGCGGUGAAA